RNAcentral lists this ribosomal RNA (526 nucleotides) under uncultured bacterium. Its description in RNAcentral is "bacterial SSU rRNA". It matches the Rfam family "Bacterial small subunit ribosomal RNA", at positions 8 to 527 of the family's 1533-position model. The record is from RNAcentral.
AGAGUUUGAUCAUGGCUCAGAUUGAACGCUGGCGGCAUGCCUUAUACAUGCAAGUCGAACGGCAGCACGGGGGCAACCCUGGUGGCGAGUGGCGAACGGGUGAGUAACGCAUCGGAACGUGCCCAGUAGUGGGGGAUAACUAGUCGAAAGAUUAGCUAAUACCGCAUACGACCUAUGGGUGAAAGCGGGGGACCUUUACCGGCCUCGCGCUAUCGGAGCGGCCGAUGUCUGAUUAGCUAGUUGGCGGGGUAAAAGCCCACCAAGGCGACGAUCAGUAGCUGGUCUGAGAGGACGACCAGCCACACUGGGACUGAGACACGGCCCAGACUCCUACGGGAGGCAGCAGUGGGGAAUUUUGGACAAUGGGCGCAAGCCUGAUCCAGCCAUGCCGCGUGCGGGAAGAAGGCCUUCGGGUUGUAAACCGCUUUUGGCAGGAACGAAACGGCGCGAGCGAAUAUCUCGCGUUAAUGACGGUACCUGCAGAAUAAGCACCGGCUAACUACGUGCCAGCAGCCGCGGUAAUACA